This 399-nucleotide transfer-messenger RNA is filed under the name uncultured Prevotella sp. It matches the Rfam family "transfer-messenger RNA". From Rfam's summary of the family: Bacterial tmRNA, also known as 10Sa RNA or SsrA, is named for its dual tRNA and mRNA-like properties. Its role is to liberate the mRNA from a stalled ribosome. The record is from RNAcentral. Lineage: Bacteria; Pseudomonadati; Bacteroidota; Bacteroidia; Bacteroidales; Prevotellaceae.
GGGGUUGACUGGAUUUGACGGCGAGAUGAAAUGGUACGUAAGCACGCGGAGGCUCGUUGGUUCCCUCCUUAAUCUGAGUCAGCAGAAAAUUAAUUGGCAACAAUGAGUAUGCUCUCGCUGCUUAAUCGAAGUACAGUAGAUUACGAGCUUAAUUCCACUACCAGGUAGAGGAACGAGACGUCGCCCCGGGGAUGUUGUCCCGAAUCUUACGGAUCAGGCGGCGCAGGCAAAUCGGGAAUAGUCUCUGCAGGCCUCGAUGCUGGGAUGAAGUUUUAGAGGAUAAGGCUGUGAUUGGUGGCUUGGGGCUUGUCACAGCACGAAAAUGAAGUCCAAGAUAAGCGUGUAGAAAGCGUAUGGUUUCCUUGUGCGGACGAGGGUUCGACUCCCUCCAGCUCCACA